AAGCAACAGGUAAUUAUCUACCUGGUUAUUCUGUUGAACAAAUUACCUUGACAAAAGACCAUCUGUCAACAAACACCAAGCGAGAUGGGUGGACAACUAAUCACACCUUGUCACAUGUUUCAUUCAUUUCUCUCCACUCAGGCCAGAUACAGUUACACGCAACAGAUUGCCUUACCGUUAUUACAUGGGAAACAACUUGAGCAUAAUGUGACAAACACAGCAGCAGUCGCCAAGGGGAACACGUAACUAAAACACUGUUAGUUGUGCAUUUGCACACAACGCAUGGUGUGUUGUGCGUAUAUGCUUGCAGAUGUUGUGUGCCAACAGACACCGAAAAUGGUAACUAAAAUGUUCAUAAUGACUCCUCAGCUGUUAGACAUCAUUAGAUAUCUCCUAAUCAACUGGGAAUGUAAGAGUGAGACAUCAGUGGCUUCUCUUGGUCUACCUGGUUCUGACUCCACUAGACUGUGUCUGAAUAAUCGAUGUGGGUGAAAGAGGCAGCAGAUGGAAGCAUUCAACACCCUUGUGGUGUUUUACUGAAAUAAUGAUUCCCUGAAGGGCAUCUCUGAGAAGAUCUGCUACAGCAGAGGCCAGGAAUAUUGCUUAUCGUACAAUACCCAAUGACUUGAUGCAGACAUAGCUAUUAUUAGUGUUUUAGUAUUACUAUUUACAACACAUACAUAAUGGUAGGUGUUUUAAUUUGCAGGUAAAAGAUAAAAAUUACUGUUUUUUAAACUAAAACUUGUGAGUGACAGAUGGUGCUUUUUUCACCUUCUGUCAUCCUUCGCACAGACGCCUGAUCCUUAAGUCCUUAAGUGAUGGAUCUUAUCAGCAGCAUACCUGCCCAGCUUCCCUAUUACCAUUAUGCAUGUACAUUUGCAAAGAGCCUGUUGUGCCAAAACACAAAAUCUGUACCAAUGUGUGUGUGUGUGUAUACAGGCAUUUUCUCGUAACAAAAGCGUCCCGAUAAUGACUCGCACUAAAAGAAGUUCUGAGAAGCUAUUUGCAGAAAGAUGUUCCACAAGUUAUGGGCCUUGAUAGAUGGGGGUUGGUACAGACGUACUCUGGCUCUGCAGGACACAAAGAUAAUAUGAAAUGCAUCCAUCAACAAAGAAUGCAAAUGCUAAAAGAAUAAAUAAAUACCAGUGAUGCUGAUGCUGUGUGGAAGCACAUGCAGCGUUUUAUCAUUUCAUCCACUGUGAAGUGGAAUUUGAGGUUUGGAUUUGCGGCUGGCAAGUUUAUCCAAGCACAUUAAGCUGCUCUCACCUGUCUUUUUAAACAGACCACUUGGGCGGUUUAUAUGGACCAGAUUUGGCGUUUUCUUGCAGAAAGAGUGGCUGGAAACAACAUGGUGUUGAAAAUCCUGUGUAAAUGUGUGUGUCACUAUAUAUUGAGCUUUCAGAAAGGUUCGUUUCAGUCUUAUUUCUAAUUACCCAGAGGAGGAAAAUUGAACAAAAAUAGCUGUUUUGGAAAAAGCCUCAUAAAUUGGAUUAUAGCUAAAAAGCUUUAGUGUUAUAUUUACUCAUUUACUGCCUCUUCUGUUUGUCUCUGGAUCACAGGAUUACUACAAGGCCAAGCCAGGCUGGUUGUUUAAAGUGCCAGGUCAGUUUCACCUUGAGACAAAGUCAUUUCUCAACUAGUCUUUGACCAAUUGAUUACAAUACACAGAACAACAAGUAUAUACUACUGUUAUCUCUGCAUUAUAAAAAACCUUAAAUCCAAUUCCACUGUUUGCACGGAUUAUCUGCUUUUAGUCUGAACACAGAACGAAAGGAUUAGCAGGGACAAGUGCAGUUAAGGAGAUAUGGUCGGACAGUGUCUUAAUUGUGUUCUUAACAGAUCUGCUCAUGUCAGAUAUGGUGUUCAAUCACAGUCAUGUGCCUCAUAGGACAGGGCUUUAUCAGUGCGGCUUCUUAUCCGAAGCAAGGUUGCUGCUAAUCUACUCACAAAUCUCUGUAUGUCUCCCACUGUCAGGGAGUUGGAGAGAAGGAGAAAUGAUAGAGAAGCCCGUCAUUAAACACAGGUGAAGCGCCUUGACCUUUUGUGCGUUUUCUUUCUCAUCUGUCGCUUCAUGCUCCUGUCACUUAAGUGCCACGCAGUAGCCUCCACUUCACUUCGGACGGGUGAGUGGCCACCAAUGAUGGUCAUCAAGUUGGUUGGGUUGCCAUAGAGACCAUCAGAUUCAAUCAUUUUAACGUCCCUGUAUAUGAAUGCAAGUCUCGCUGCACUUUCAUGUCACUGACACUUUGUUGUGCUAAAGCUUUGCAGAGAAAAAAAAACGCAGAGUCAACUGAUUUGAGUUCCAUGUGAUGUGUGUGGCCUCAGCGGAGUUCAUUAAGGAACUUUAUUCUCA
Molecule: long non-coding RNA, 2353 nt
Organism: Micropterus dolomieu (smallmouth bass)
Lineage: Eukaryota; Metazoa; Chordata; Actinopteri; Centrarchiformes; Centrarchidae
Exons: 2
Source: RefSeq, a predicted model, not a curated record